UUUGAACCGAUAAUGGAGAAGAGUAGGUCAGAAUGCAUGGAGAAGAGAGGAACCGUCCCGGGCUGAAAGCGGAUCCGCACUGCAUCUUUCUCGAAACAACACUCCGGAGGUUCCCUGCUGAACGCUUUUGCAAGUCAUUAGGCAGCGGACGUGAACCUGCGUUAAAGGUCAGAGCGGGGAUGCUUCGGCAUUCCAACUAGGGUGGCACCACGGGUAUAACUCUCGUCCCUACU
Molecule: non-coding RNA, 233 nt
Organism: Bacillus amyloliquefaciens
Lineage: Bacteria; Bacillati; Bacillota; Bacilli; Caryophanales; Bacillaceae
Source: Rfam